RNAcentral lists this ribosomal RNA (160 nucleotides) under uncultured fungus. RNAcentral's name for it is "5.8S ribosomal RNA". It matches the Rfam family "5.8S ribosomal RNA". From Rfam's summary of the family: 5.8S ribosomal RNA (5.8S rRNA) is a component of the large subunit of the eukaryotic ribosome. It is transcribed by RNA polymerase I as part of the 45S precursor that also contains 18S and 28S rRNA. The record is from RNAcentral. Lineage: Eukaryota; Fungi.
ACAAACUUUUAACAAUGGAUCUCUAGGCUCUUGCAUCGAUGAAGAACGCAGUGAAGUGCGAAAAGUAAUGCGAUUUGCAUGCUCUGUGAGUCAUCGAAUCUUUGAACGCAUAUGGCACCUCCCGGCCCUGCCGGAGGGUAUGCCUGUUUGAGAAUCAUAU